Long non-coding RNA from Chinchilla lanigera (long-tailed chinchilla), 2778 nucleotides. RefSeq lists it as uncharacterized. The transcript has 5 exons. NCBI's taxonomy places the organism in Eukaryota, Metazoa, Chordata, Mammalia, Rodentia, Chinchillidae. The record is from RefSeq and is a predicted model, not a curated record.
CAUGUGCUGUCGCAUGUGCUGUCACGUGGCCUGUCACAUGCUAUAACAUGGAUGAACCGAAGGACACCGUACUAGGAGAAAUUCGCCAGCCAGAAAAGGACAAACGCUGCACUCUUCUGCUCACACGAAGGCCCCGAGUGUCUGGCUCAUAAGAUUUAUCAGCUACUAUUCGCCUUCAAGUUUUGAUUCUACAGUCACUUCCAGGUUGCAGCCUCCAGCUAGUUUUAAAACGCUGUCGUCACCCACGAGAAGCCCGUCCCCAGCACACCGCUGCUCCUCAUCUCCCUGCCAGAGGUCCUGAUCUGAGUCGUCUCUGUGGAUUUACCUACCUAUGUACAAAAGUCUGGGAAUAACGCAAAUGAACAAAAGAACAAGGCUGCGAUUACAGCUGUCACAACUGAUGUGCUUUAAAUCCACCCAAAUCACCCAAGGGAACCCCCAAGGACCGCUGAGGCUCAGCCCAAGGGCAGGAAAACUGCGAACUGAGCAUGCAGCCUCCCCAAGCUGCUGCCUGGCCCUGCUCCAAGUGCGGGCAGCCAGGGCGCCUGCGGCCCGGCACUGGCGGUCUGAGCACCCAGCUCCCCGAGAGGGCGGGGCCGGCCAGACCCUCGCUUCCUGCCCUGAUGACUGAAGGGGCCGGGGGAGCCUGCAGUGCCCCUGUCCACGGCCAUCACCUCCUCCACCAGGGAGCCCUGAGGAACCCUAGAUGUCCUGGGCCCGGAAGUCAGCCACACUUGUGAACGAGUCAUCUCCCAGACCCGUGCAAGCAGGCAGGACAUCAGCCACCGGCCCCUCCAAAGCCCUGAGGCGGUGGGAUUCAGCGCCGGAAGCAGCUUUGUCAGUCAUCUGUAAAACACCGGCAAUAAACUACAACUCUUGGAGGCAGUCCACCUUCCAGGCAGGCUGCAGUCAUGCAAAGUCUCCUUGGGAAAUCAAAACGCUGGUGGGGAAGCACCCAGGGCAGCCUUGAGCACCCAUUAAAACCAGUCUCCCCCCGCCAGAAGACGAGCCUUAGGACAGGGGGAGUUCAAAAGCGACUCUGGUGGUGUUCAGAAAACAAACUGACCCCUCCCCAGGGGACACAGUGGAAGGCGUAAAAACACCGCGUGAUUCUUUCAAAUGGGAAGAGAUGCUACCUUGGAAACAGUCCCCUGAGUUUUCACAGGGCUGGGACUAGCACAAGGCUUAGCCCACUCCCUGCCUACAAUAACCCCGGCCAGCCCGAAUCACCUGCCGUGUCCGAACCUGUCCAGGGGAGAGGGGCACACCCGGGGAGGCCUGGCAACGAUGCUUCACCCACUGCCACCGGGUGGAGGGUUGAAACAAAUGUCGGUCCUGAGUGACCCCUUUGCAGGCCGGACUGAAGCCUUUCCUAUCUGUUCCUAAAAGGCUACAGAGUCAAGGUGCUUCUUAAGGAAAUCUCCCCCAGAUUUGGCCUAGCCCACUCUCUCGAGAGUGACGGUGGACUUCCUUUUACCUCCCAAAUAACUCAGGUGGUGGCAAAGAUCUCAGGAAGAAAACACCUCCACUCCAGCUGGUGGUCUCAGGCUCCUGGGAAGGUAGAGGGAGCCAGCCAGACCCCCAAAGCGAGUUCCGGCAAAACUUGCCAAGAGACAUCUGAGUCCUGGCUCCGACCGCUACCGAGAGUGCCCAUGAGGAUUCACAACGCGUCCAAAACUGGGCUAAGUUUGAGUCCAUUUGAGACGUUACGUGGGAGCUGUUUCUCUCUUCCGACAUGCCGGCAGACCCAGAGACCACUCUUACAGUAUCUCACCAAUCUGGGCCAAGUGCCACAGGCCGUCCAGAUGUGUGGGAACAGUCCUCCCAGCUCUGGCCCAGAGGGACCGCCUAGCGUCUCCCCCGGGGGCCGUGCUUGUGAAAACUUGGAGCGAGGGGACCCCCACUGGCCACUUAAAGCCGAAUCGGAAAGGCCCUUCUGUAGUGAUCCUUUGCACAUCCACUGCAGUAAAGGUGCAGGGGAUAAGCAAUAGGAUUCAUCUUUCUAAAAUAAAGCCAGCCCCCCCUGAACUGUCUGAAGAACAAGGCCACCCAAAAGGAGAAAGCUACUUCUGUGAGCUCUGGGAGAUGAGAUUUCUCUUCAAAGAGCGAGAUUCCAGUGCGGCUAUAGGAAAUGUGGAAAUCUGACCUGCUCUUCAUAUUGGGGCGAAGAGUGAAGUUUUUUUCUUCUGUCAAACAGGGAGCUCAGUGAUCAUUAACCCUUUGCUCAUUUCCUGACAGGUUUUCCUUCUUCAGCGAACCAGGGAGCCGCAGCACCCCAGGGCAGCUGGAGAGCACGUGAUCCUCAGCAGGUAGGGCCGACAGUGCCUCGAAGUUUGAAGGAGCUAUAGACAGAGAUCUCCACCCCUCAGCACCCCAUUAAGGGUUAUGGGGAUUUGUAUCUCUCCAAGAGAAAGGAAAUUAGGGUGUUGCAAAGCUGGCUGAGAAGUAGGGGUGACUUGUUAAUUACAAGAUGUGCAGAACAGUUCCCAAACUCUGCAUGUGGGCUUCUCACAAGAACUGGAGCAGAUUUUCCAUAGCAUGGUCUAGACUGACCCAGCCUGCGGCAUGGGAGCCCAGCACCGCCUCUCGGGACCCGGAUGUGGAAGUCCCAUGGGUUUCCUCCAGACUUGGGUGGCAAAAAGGACACAGACACGGAGAAGAGCUUGCUGUCAGGGCUUUCCCCGCGACAGCCCGCGCUGCGUCCCCAGGGUGCACUUUACCUUGCCUUUUCCUCUUGGACUCGGUCUUCUCCCUCACGCUUCACUUCUACUUUUUCAA